CCCUUAGAUGCUCUGGGCUGCACACGUGCUACACUGGCAGGUUCAGCGAGCUUCAUGCCCUGAUCUGAAAGGAAUGGGAAAUCUUUUCAAAACCUGCCGUGCUUGGGACAGAUGUUUGCAAUUAUUCAUCUUCAACGAGGAUUGCCUUGUAAGCGCACGUCAUCAGCGUGCAUUGAAUACGACCCUGUAUUCUGUACACACCGCCCGUCGCUCCUACCGAUUGAAGUUUUCGGUGAGUUGACAGGAGGAUUUUUUUGAAACUGGUUCGCCAGUGGAUUUUAGAUCCAAAUGCCAACGAAUCGAUGGCUUUAGAGGAAGGAGAAGUCGUAACA
RNAcentral lists this ribosomal RNA (332 nucleotides) under uncultured eukaryote. RNAcentral describes it as "partial 18S ribosomal RNA". It matches the Rfam family "Eukaryotic small subunit ribosomal RNA", at positions 1470 to 1796 of the family's 1831-position model. The record is from RNAcentral.